AUUGAACGCUGGCGGCAGGCCUAACACAUGCAAGUCGGACGGUAGCACAGAGGAGCUUGCUCUUCGGGUGACGAGUGGCGGACGGGUGAGUAAUGUCUGGGGAUCUGCCCGAUAGAGGGGGAUAGCCACUGGAAACGCUGGCUAAUACCGCAUAACGUCGCAAGACCAAAGAGGGGGACCUUCGGGCCUCUCACUAUCGGAUGAACCCAGAUGGGAUUAGCUAGUAGGCGGGGUAACGGCCCACCUAGGCGACGAUCCCUAGCUGGUCUGAGAGGAUGACCAGCCACACUGGAACUGAGACACGGUCCAGACUCCUACGAGAGGCAGCAGUGGGGAAUAUUGCACAAUGGGCGCAAGCCUGAUGCAGCCAUGCCGCGUGUAUGAAGAAGGCCUUCGGGUUGUAAAGUACUUUCAGCGGGGAGGAAGGCGAUGUGGUUAAUAACCGCGUCGAUUGACGUUACCCGCAGAAGAAGCACCGGCUAACUCCGUGCCAGCAGCCGCGGUAA
RNAcentral lists this ribosomal RNA (506 nucleotides) under uncultured bacterium. Its description in RNAcentral is "partial 16S ribosomal RNA". It matches the Rfam family "Bacterial small subunit ribosomal RNA", at positions 29 to 523 of the family's 1533-position model. The record is from RNAcentral.